This 468-nucleotide ribosomal RNA is filed under the name uncultured bacterium. RNAcentral's name for it is "partial 16S ribosomal RNA". It matches the Rfam family "Bacterial small subunit ribosomal RNA", at positions 28 to 507 of the family's 1533-position model. The record is from RNAcentral.
GACGAACGCUGGCGGCGUGCUUAACACAUGCAAGUCGAACGGAAAGGCCCUGCUUUUGUGGGGUGCUCGAGUGGCGAACGGGUGAGUAACACGUGAGUAACCUGCCCUUGACUUUGGGAUAACUUCAGGAAACUGGGGCUAAUACCGGAUAGGAGCUCCUGCUGCAUGGUGGGGGUUGGAAAGUUUCGGCGGUUGGGGAUGGACUCGCGGCUUAUCAGCUUGUUGGUGGGGUAGUGGCUUACCAAGGCUUUGACGGGUAGCCGGCCUGAGAGGGUGACCGGCCACAUGGGGAAAGAGAUAGGCCCCAGACUCCUAGGGGAGGGAGCAGGGGGGAAUAUGGCAAAAGGGGGGGACGCCUGAUGCAGCAACGCCGGGGGGGGGAUGCCGGCUGUCGGGUGGAACCCCGCUUCCGCCGGGGACGAAGGGGGAGGGACGGAAGGGGAAAAAGAAACACCGCCAAACUACGUC